UGUCCCUUAAAAUCGAUAUCACUAUUAAAGAAUCUCUCAGGUAUAAAUUCUUCUGAAUUUUCCCAUACGUCAGAAUCCCUUGCAAUUGCCCAUGCAUUAACAUGGACUAUAGUUCCUGGCUGAAUUUCAUAUCCUUCUAGUGUGGAUUUUUUCAUUGUUUCUCUUGGUAUUAGGAGUGGAGCUGGUGGAUAUAACCUGAAUGCCUCGUUUAUCACUGCUUUGAAAUAGGGAAGAUUUUGGAUGUCAUCUUCAUUCACAGUGCCUUUGUUCCCAAUUGAUUUUCUAAGUUCUUGUUGAACUUUUUUCAUGGCUUUUGGAUUCUUCAUCAAGGCUGUUAUUGUCCAUACUACUGCAGCCGCGCUAGUUUCUGAUCCUGCUAGUAACACAUUCUACAAAGAAAGAACAUAAAAAAAUUUGUAAUAUAACAACUAAUACUAAAGAUAUG
Molecule: unclassified non-coding RNA, 445 nt
Filed under: Hevea brasiliensis (rubber tree)
Lineage: Eukaryota; Viridiplantae; Streptophyta; Magnoliopsida; Malpighiales; Euphorbiaceae
Source: RNAcentral